This 832-nucleotide ribosomal RNA is filed under the name Haptophyta environmental samples. RNAcentral describes it as "SSU rRNA". It matches the Rfam family "Eukaryotic small subunit ribosomal RNA", at positions 3 to 845 of the family's 1831-position model. Lineage: Eukaryota; Haptophyta. The record is from RNAcentral.
CCUGGUUGAUCCUGCCAGUAGUCAUAUGCUUGUCUCAAAGAUUAAGCCAUGCAUGUCUAAGUAUAAGCGACUAUACUGUGAAACUGCGAAUGGCUCAUUAAAUCAGUUAUGGUUUAUUUGAUGGUACCUUGCUACUUGGAUAACCGUAGUAAUUCUAGAGCUAAUACAUGCAGGAGUUCCCGACUCACGGAGGGAUGUAUUUAUUAGAUAAGAAACCAAACCGGUCUCCGGUUGCGUGCUGAGUCAUAAUAACUGCUCGAAUCGCACGGCUCUACGCCAGCGAUGGUUCAUUCAAAUUUCUGCCCUAUCAGCUUUCGAUGGUAGGAUAGAGGCCUACCAUGGCGUUAACGGGUAACGGAGAAUUAGGGUUCGAUUCCGGAGAGGGAGCCUGAGAAAUGGCUACCACAUCCAAGGAAGGCAGCAGGCGCAUAAAUUGCCCGAGUCCUGACACAGGGAGGUAGUGACAAGAAAUAACAAUACAGGGCUAUUUUAGUCUCGUAAUUGGAAUGAGUACAAUUUACAUCUCUUCACGAGGAUCAAUUGGAGGGCAAGUCUGGUGCCAGCAGCCGCGGUAAUUCCAGCUCCAAUAGCGUAUAUUAAAGUUGUUGCAGUUAAAACGCUCGUAGUCGGAUUUCGGGGCGGGCCGACCGGUCUGCCGAUGGGUAUGCACUGGCCGGCGCGUCCUUCCACCCGGAGACCGCGCCUACUCUUAACUGAGCGGGCGCGGGAGACGGGUCUUUUACUUUGAAAAAAUCAGAGUGUUUCAAGCAGGCAGUCGCUCUUGCAUGGAUUAGCAUGGGAUAAUGAAAUAGGACUCUGGUGCUAUUUUGUU